UACAGAGGUGCCAAGCGUUGUUCGGAUUUAUUGGGCGUAAAGGGUGCGUAGGCGGUUAUGUAAGUCGGGUGUGAAAUUUCGGAGCCUAACUCCGAAACUGCAUUCGAAACUGCAUAGCUCGAGGUCUGGAGAGGUAAUUGGAAUUCUAGGUGUAGCAGUGAAAUGCGUAGAUAUCUAGAGGAACAUCGGUGGCGAAGGCGGCCAACUGGACGAGUACUGACGCUGAGACACGAAAGCGUGGGGAGCAAACAGG
This 253-nucleotide ribosomal RNA is filed under the name uncultured bacterium. RNAcentral describes it as "partial 16S ribosomal RNA". It matches the Rfam family "Bacterial small subunit ribosomal RNA", at positions 524 to 776 of the family's 1533-position model. The record is from RNAcentral.